UGUGAACUCGAAGAGUAGGGCGGGACACGUGGUAUCCUGUCUGAAUAUGGGGGGACCAUCCUCCAAGGCUAAAUACUCCUGACUGACCGAUAGUGAACCAGUACCGUGAGGGAAAGGCGAAAAGAACCCCGGCGAGGGGAGUGAAAAAGAACCUGAAACCGUGUACGUACAAGCAGUGGGAGCACCUUCGGGUGUGACUGCGUACCUUUUGUAUAAUGGGUCAGCGACUUAUAUUCUGUAGCAAGGUUAACCGUAUAGGGGAGCCGCAGGGAAACCGAGUCUUAACUGGGCGUUAAGUUGCAGGGUAUAGACCCGAAACCCGGUGAUCUAGCCAUGGGCAGGUUGAAGGUUGGGUAACACUAACUGGAGGACCGAACCGACUAAUGUUGAAAAAUUAGCGGAUGACUUGUGGCUGGGGGUGAAAGGCCAAUCAAACCGGGAGAUAGCUGGUUCUCCCCGAAAGCUAUUUAGGUAGCGCCUCGUGAAUUCAUCUUCGGGGGUAGAGCACUGUUUCGGCUAGGGGGUCAUCCCGACUUACCAACCCGAUGCAAACUACGAAUACCGAAGAAUGUUAUCACGGGAGACACACGGCGGGUGCUAACGUCCGUCGUGAAGAGGGAAACAACCCAGACCGCCAGCUAAGGUCCCAAAGUCAUGGUUAAGUGGGAAACGAUGUGGGAAGGCACAGACAGCCAGGAUGUUGGCUUAGAAGCAGCCAUCAUUUAAAGAAAGCGUAAUAGCUCACUGGUCGAGUCGGCCUGCGCGGAAGAUGUAACGGGGCUAAACCAUGCACCGAAGCUGCGGCAGCGACACUAUGUGUUGUUGGGUAGGGGAGCGUUCUGUAAGCCUGCGAAGGUGUGCUGUGAGGCAUGCUGGAGGUAUCAGAAGUGCGAAUGCUGACAUAAGUAACGAUAAAGCGGGUGAAAAGCCCGCUCGCCGGAAGACCAAGGGUUCCUGUCCAACGUUAAUCGGGGCAGGGUGAGUCGACC
RNAcentral lists this ribosomal RNA (989 nucleotides) under Klebsiella pneumoniae. RNAcentral describes it as "partial 23S ribosomal RNA". It matches the Rfam family "Bacterial large subunit ribosomal RNA", at positions 398 to 1389 of the family's 2925-position model. The record is from RNAcentral. Lineage: Bacteria; Pseudomonadati; Pseudomonadota; Gammaproteobacteria; Enterobacterales; Enterobacteriaceae.